UUAAGUUACUAAGGGCGCACGGUGGAUGCCUUGGCACUAGAAGCCAAUGAAGGACGUUACUAACGACGAUAUGCUUUGGGGAGCUGUAAGUAAGCUUUGAUCCAGAGAUUUCCGAAUGGGGAAACCCAGCAUGAGUUAUGUCAUGUUAUCGAUAUGUGAAUACAUAGCAUAUCAGAAGGCACACCCGGAGAACUGAAACAUCUUAGUACCCGGAGGAAGAGAAAGAAAAUUCGAUUCCCUUAGUAGCGGCGAGCGAAACGGGAAGAGCCCAAACCAACAAGCUUGCUUGUUGGGGUUGUAGGACACUCUAUACGGAGUUACAAAGGACGACAUUAGACGAAUCAUCUGGAAAGAUGAAUCAAAGAAGGUAAUAAUCCUGUAGUCGAAAAUGUUGUCUCUCUUGAGUGGAUCCUGAGUACGACGGAGCACGUGAAAUUCCGUCGGAAUCUGGGAGGACCAUCUCCUAAGGCUAAAUACUCUCUAGUGACCGAUAGUGAACCAGUACCGUGAGGGAAAGGUGAAAAGCACCCCGGAAGGGGAGUGAAAUAGAACCUGAAACCGUGUGCUUACAAGUAGUCAGAGCCCGUUAAUGGGUGAUGGCGUGCCUUUUGUAGAAUGAACCGGCGAGUUACGAUUUGAUGCAAGGUUAAGCAGUAAAUGUGGAGCCGUAGCGAAAGCGAGUCUGAAUAGGGCGUUUAGUAUUUGGUCGUAGACCCGAAACCAGGUGAUCUACCCUUGGUCAGGUUGAAGUUCAGGUAACACUGAAUGGAGGACCGAACCGACUUACGUUGAAAAGUGAGCGGAUGAACUGAGGGUAGCGGAGAAAUUCCAAUCGAACCUGGAGAUAGCUGGUUCUCUCCGAAAUAGCUUUAGGGCUAGCCUCAAGUGAUGAUUAUUGGAGGUAGAGCACUGUUUGGACGAGGGGCCCCUCUCGGGUUACCGAAUUCAGACAAACUCCGAAUGCCAAUUAAUUUAACUUGGGAGUCAGAACAUGGGUGAUAAGGUCCGUGUUCGAAAGGGAAACAGCCCAGACCACCAGCUAAGGUCCCAAAAUAUAUGUUAAGUGGAAAAGGAUGUGGCGUUGCCCAGACAACUAGGAUGUUGGCUUAGAAGCAGCCAUCAUUUAAAGAGUGCGUAAUAGCUCACUAGUCGAGUGACACUGCGCCGAAAAUGUACCGGGGCUAAACAUAUUACCGAAGCUGUGGAUUGUCCUUUGGACAAUGGUAGGAGAGCGUUCUAAGGGCGUUGAAGCAUGAUCGUAAGGACAUGUGGAGCGCUUAGAAGUGAGAAUGCCGGUGUGAGUAGCGAAAGACGGGUGAGAAUCCCGUCCACCGAUUGACUAAGGUUUCCAGAGGAAGGCUCGUCCGCUCUGGGUUAGUCGGGUCCUAAGCUGAGGCCGACAGGCGUAGGCGAUGGAUAACAGGUUGAUAUUCCUGUACCACCUAUAAUCGUUUUAAUCGAUGGGGGGACGCAGUAGGAUAGGCGAAGCGUGCGAUUGGAUUGCACGUCUAAGCAGUAAGGCUGAGUAUUAGGCAAAUCCGGUACUCGUUAAGGCUGAGCUGUGAUGGGGAGAAGACAUUGUGUCUUCGAGUCGUUGAUUUCACACUGCCGAGAAAAGCCUCUAGAUAGAAAAUAGGUGCCCGUACCGCAAACCGACACAGGUAGUCAAGAUGAGAAUUCUAAGGUGAGCGAGCGAACUCUCGUUAAGGAACUCGGCAAAAUGACCCCGUAACUUCGGGAGAAGGGGUGCUCUUUAGGGUUAACGCCCAGAAGAGCCGCAGUGAAUAGGCCCAAGCGACUGUUUAUCAAAAACACAGGUCUCUGCUAAACCGUAAGGUGAUGUAUAGGGGCUGACGCCUGCCCGGUGCUGGAAGGUUAAGAGGAGUGGUUAGCUUCUGCGAAGCUACGAAUCGAAGCCCCAGUAAACGGCGGCCGUAACUAUAACGGUCCUAAGGUAGCGAAAUUCCUUGUCGGGUAAGUUCCGACCCGCACGAAAGGCGUAACGAUUUGGGCACUGUCUCAACGAGAGACUCGGUGAAAUCAUAGUACCUGUGAAGAUGCAGGUUACCCGCGACAGGACGGAAAGACCCCGUGGAGCUUUACUGUAGCCUGAUAUUGAAAUUCGGCACAGCUUGUACAGGAUAGGUAGGAGCCUUUGAAACGUGAGCGCUAGCUUACGUGGAGGCGCUGGUGGGAUACUACCCUAGCUGUGUUGGCUUUCUAACCCGCACCACUUAUCGUGGUGGGAGACAGUGUCAGGCGGGCAGUUUGACUGGGGCGGUCGCCUCCUAAAAGGUAACGGAGGCGCUCAAAGGUUCCCUCAGAAUGGUUGGAAAUCAUUCAUAGAGUGUAAAGGCAUAAGGGAGCUUGACUGCGAGACCUACAAGUCGAGCAGGGUCGAAAGACGGACUUAGUGAUCCGGUGGUUCCGCAUGGAAGGGCCAUCGCUCAACGGAUAAAAGCUACCCCGGGGAUAACAGGCUUAUCUCCCCCAAGAGUUCACAUCGACGGGGAGGUUUGGCACCUCGAUGUCGGCUCAUCGCAUCCUGGGGCUGUAGUCGGUCCCAAGGGUUGGGCUGUUCGCCCAUUAAAGCGGUACGCGAGCUGGGUUCAGAACGUCGUGAGACAGUUCGGUCCCUAUCCGUCGUGGGCGUAGGAAAUUUGAGAGGAGCUGUCCUUAGUACGAGAGGACCGGGAUGGACAUACCUCUGGUGUACCAGUUGUCGUGCCAACGGCAUAGCUGGGUAGCUAUGUGUGGACGGGAUAAGUGCUGAAAGCAUCUAAGCAUGAAGCCCCCCUCAAGAUGAGAUUUCCCAACUUCGGUUAUAAGAUCCCUCAAAGAUGAUGAGGUUAAUAGGUUCGAGGUGGAAGCAUGGUGACAUGUGGAGCUGACGAAUACUAAUCGAUCGAAGACUUAAUCAA
This is a ribosomal RNA of 2921 nucleotides. It matches the Rfam family "Bacterial large subunit ribosomal RNA".